CACCGCGGUUAUACGAGAGGUCCAAGUUGACAGACAGCGGCGUAAAGCGUGGUUAUGGAAACUACCAAACUAGAGCCAAAUGCCCACAAGGCUGUUAUACGCACCCGAGGGCCGGAGAUUCGCCAACGAAAGUGGCUUUACAAACCUGAACCCACGAAAGCUAUGAAA
This 168-nucleotide ribosomal RNA is filed under the name Choerodon oligacanthus (white-patch tuskfish). Its description in RNAcentral is "partial 12S rRNA". The record is from RNAcentral. Lineage: Eukaryota; Metazoa; Chordata; Actinopteri; Labriformes; Labridae.